RNA transcript from Hippopotamus amphibius kiboko, 2534 nucleotides. It is a transcript of the gene named GDP-mannose pyrophosphorylase A, with no coding region annotated. NCBI's taxonomy places the organism in Eukaryota, Metazoa, Chordata, Mammalia, Artiodactyla, Hippopotamidae. The transcript is spliced from 12 exons. The record is from RefSeq and is a predicted model, not a curated record.
CGUGCGCGGAAGGAGCAAGCAGUAGCGGGCGACAGAUCUGGCAAAAGGGAACUAGUGGUAAAGGGAGCUGGUGGAGGGGCGGCGAAAGGGGUACAGGGCAAAGGACGGACGGUGGACCGAGAGCGGCUCGGAGGUCUUGGCUGGCUCUCCGCACUUCCGCUCUUGUGCUGGUCCCACAACCCCUGGCUACGCGAGCCUAGGAUUUAUUAGUCAGAGUCAGUUGUGGGGUUCAGAGGGUCAGCAGUCAGUUCUCCGAAUCCAGAGAUUCAGUACUUGUCAUCAGUAUCGGUAAUCAGGGACUUGGUAGGUUCGGUGUUUGGGAUGCUAAAGGAAUCAGUCUUUUGAUUCAGGGUUCAUCACCUAGAGGUUAGUUUUAGGAUUCAGGUUCAGCCUAUAUAGGUUUUUUGCUAGGAUUUGGGAUGUAUCAGAUGCGGAUCAGUGUUAGUUCAGUACGUGGGAUUCAUUCUUAGGAUUGUAGUUGAAUAUUUGCAGCUCACUCAGGUUCUGGGGUUCAAUAUUCAGGGUUCACUAUUUGGGUUCAGGGCUUAACAUCUAGAGUGAGGAAGCAACAAUUGGAAAUCAGUGGGUUUGGGGUUUCGGUUUUUUGAGGUUUGGGGUCUGAGAAGAGCGUCUCUUGCUGAGUUUCUGAGUUUGCUGAAUUUGUGGCCAGAGGGAAGUCUGUUAGGGGCCAAAUUGUGGGGUGUGAAUUGGGUGAAAUCACUGUGGGGUUUGAAGGCGGGCUGGAGUCUAGGCUGGGAUUUGAGUUGUGUGGGAUUUGUGAGGUGUUGUAUCCUGGGCAGGUCUAUAUUGAACUUCGGGUUUACAUCCUCCAGGAGGACUCUGUUGCUCUUUGGGGUUUGGGGCUUGUUUGGGGUAUGAGUCAGGUUCCUGGGUUGGGGUGUGAGAUCUGAGCCUGACUUCUCUGUUGGGAUUUGAGGUUUAGGUAGCAAUCGCCAUCAUGCUCAAAGCAGUGAUCCUGAUUGGAGGCCCUCAAAAGGGGACUCGCUUCAGGCCUUUGUCAUUUGAGGUGCCCAAACCCCUGUUUCCUGUGGCGGGGGUCCCUAUGAUCCAGCACCACAUUGAGGCUUGUGCCCAGGUCCCUGGGAUGCAGGAGAUUCUGCUCAUUGGCUUCUACCAACCUGAUGAGCCCCUUACCCGGUUCCUAGAAGCUGCCCAGCAGGAGUUUAACCUUCCAAUCAGGUACCUGCAGGAAUUUGCCCCACUGGGCACAGGGGGUGGUCUCUACCAUUUCCGGGACCAGAUUCUGGCUGGAGGCCCCGAAGCCUUCUUCGUGCUCAAUGCUGAUGUCUGCUCCGACUUCCCCUUGAGCGCUAUGUUGGAUGUCCACAGACACCAGCCUCACCCCUUCUUGCUCCUUGGCACCACGGCUAACAGGACACAAUCCCUCAACUACGGCUGCAUUGUAGAGAAUCCACAGACGCAUGAGGUCCUGCACUACGUGGAGAAGCCCAGCACGUUUGUCAGUGACAUCAUCAACUGCGGCAUCUACCUCUUCUCCCCGGAAGCCCUGAAGCCCCUUCGGGAUGUCUUCCAGCGUAAUCAGCAGGAUGGCCAACUGGAGGACUCUUCAGGCUUGUGGCCCGGGGCAGGUACCAUCCGCCUGGAACAGGAUGUGUUCUCCGCCCUGGCAGGGCAGGGCCAGAUCUAUGUGCACCUCACUGACGGUAUCUGGAGUCAGAUCAAGUCUGCAGGCUCAGCCCUCUACGCCUCCCGCCUCUAUCUGAGCCAGUACCAGCUCACUCACCCAGAACGCCUGGCCAAGCACACCCCAGGGGGCCCACGGAUUCGAGAUGCAGAGGUCAAGUCUCAAUCCCUGCCCUCCCUGAACCAGAUGUGGUUUGGGGUAUUUGCCCCCAGAUCCUCUCUUCUGCUUCUAGGAAAUGUUUACAUCCACCCAACGGCUAAGGUGGCCCCAUCGGCUGUGCUGGGCCCCAACGUCUCCAUCGGGGAAGGGGUGACCGUGGGCGAGGGCGUGCGGCUCCGAGAGAGCAUCGUCCUCCACGGAGCCGCGCUGCAGGUGGGCGUCCAGGUGCACGCGGCAGGAGCACACGUGUGUUCUGCACAGCAUCGUGGGCUGGGGGAGCACGGUGGGGCGCUGGGCCCGCGUGGAGGGCACGCCCAAUGACCCCAAUCCCAACGACCCCCGAGCCCACGUGGACAGCGAGAGCUUAUUCAAGGAUGGGCGGCUGCUGCCCGCCAUCACCAUCCUCGGCUGCCGCGUCCGGAUCCCUGCCGAGGUGCUCAUCCUGAACUCGAUUGUUCUGCCGCACAAGGAGCUGAGCCGCAGCUUCACCAACCAGAUCAUCCUCUGAGGGGGGCUCCCAGAACCCCCCCACCCCCCGCCCCGGCUCCUAUCCGCUUGCCGUGAGGCUCCUGUCUGCAUGGGCAGCCUCUGUCCAGGAGGGACUGGAGGAAGCCAGGCGGGCUCUUCAUGCACGCGGGGAGCCGCGCGGGUGGCCGGGGGACGGGUGGCCUCCCUCUCCACUCCCUAAUAAACCCGGGUGAACCUUGGA